RNAcentral lists this non-coding RNA (110 nucleotides) under uncultured Vannella. The record is from RNAcentral. Lineage: Eukaryota; Discosea; Flabellinia; Vannellidae.
UCUCUGCCCAAGGUGGUGCCCGUGACGAGCACAGGUGCCGAGGAGGAUGAGGAAGGGGAGAAGAACACUGCCGUGGCAGAAAACGAGAGGGAGACAGGGACAGGGGGGAA